RNAcentral lists this long non-coding RNA (658 nucleotides) under Vulpes vulpes (red fox). RNAcentral's name for it is "lncRNA (ENSVVUG00000028167.1)". The record is from RNAcentral. Lineage: Eukaryota; Metazoa; Chordata; Mammalia; Carnivora; Canidae.
AUAAAAUUACAAACCAUGGGGUGCCAACUAAUUUAAAGAAGGCCAUUUGCAGAUUUCAGUCUUUGAGCUGGUCAUUUUAUUUUAUUUUAUUUUUUUUUUUUUGAGCUGGUCAUUUUAAAUGUAUAAGGGAGUAAUUAAUAAAUUUGAUCCCCAAGAUACCUUUUAGGAUUCUAGGAUUCUGAUUUUCUUUAACGUUUUUGGAGGAAAGGUGAAAAUAUUUCCCAAAGUUGUUUAAAAUGCCUGCCAAUAUAGGCAAAUAAUCUGCCUUUACUAGGGAAAGAACAGUGUUGAACUAUUUGUGUCUUCCAUGAAUAGGAAUUUCUGAUGCUCUGCCAUCUGAGGGAGUGCUGCAUUCACUCAGGAUUGAUGUUUUACAUCAAAGUUUAUCCCAACUUAGAAUUACAGAAAUUUUCCUCUGAGAUACCACCCAAACACGCAGAUUUCCUUGGAGGUUACUAUGAGGGUUAAGCACUCAGAGGAAUGGGAUUCAAUCCUUGAAGAAAAAGCACUGAUUCAAAGAGCCUAUAGAUAUUUAAUGGCCAAUCAGUAUUGCUCAGAGGGGAUCUCCUUGGCUUCAUGCAUCAACUGGGUAAGUACUCAAUAGGUUUUUAUUACGUUCCGAGCCCUGUACUCCUUUAGCCACUUCUAGAAUCCAUUU